RNAcentral lists this long non-coding RNA (334 nucleotides) under Capsicum annuum. RNAcentral describes it as "long non-coding RNA (CANN_LNC003974)". The record is from RNAcentral. Lineage: Eukaryota; Viridiplantae; Streptophyta; Magnoliopsida; Solanales; Solanaceae.
AAAAUUCAACAGAAAAUUCUGCUUAGUCAACAUAGUGUCCUCCUUGAGUAUUUCCCAGCAAGAAUGGAAAAAACCAUCCAUGAGUUUCCUGCCUUCAAUGAAAUCUGAAAAAUCAAAUCAAUCAUGGCGCUUAUGACUUCAUUAUGUUUCUUCUUUUUAAAUCCCUACCCUCCUUCCAUGUUGCAAUGCCCCACCAUAACUGCUGCGUACCACAUGAUAUUUGGUUUGUGCAUCCCUGUAAAUACCAAUGAAAAAUCAAAUCAAUUAUGGCCCUUAUGACUUCAUUAUGUUUCUUCUUUUUAAAUCCCUACCCUCCUUCCAUGUUGCAAUGCCC